RNAcentral lists this ribosomal RNA (301 nucleotides) under uncultured bacterium. RNAcentral's name for it is "partial 16S ribosomal RNA". It matches the Rfam family "Bacterial small subunit ribosomal RNA", at positions 509 to 807 of the family's 1533-position model. The record is from RNAcentral.
CAGCCGCCGCGGUAAUACGUAGGUGGCAGGCGUUGUCCGGAAUUAUUGGGCGUAAAGGGCUCGCAGGCGGUUUCUUAAGUCUGAUGUGAAAGCCCCCGGCUCAACCGGGGAGGGUCAUUGGAAACUGGGAAACUUGAGUGCAGAAGAGGAGAGUGGAAUUCCACGUGUAGCGGUGAAAUGCGUAGAGAUGUGGAGGAACACCAGUGGCGAAGGCGACUCUCUGGUCUGUAACUGACGCUGAGGAGCGAAAGCGUGGGGAGCGAACAGGAUUAGAUACCCCAGUAGUCCCUGUCUCUUAUAC